Small nuclear RNA from Suncus etruscus (white-toothed pygmy shrew), 160 nucleotides. RefSeq annotates it as U1 spliceosomal RNA. Lineage: Eukaryota; Metazoa; Chordata; Mammalia; Eulipotyphla; Soricidae. The transcript has a single exon. The record is from RefSeq and is a predicted model, not a curated record.
AAAUUGCCCCUGGAGAUAAUCAUGAUCACGAAGGUGGUUUCCCCAGGGCGAGGCUCACCCAUUGCACUCCAGGUGUGCUGGCCCCUGCGAUGUCCCCAAAUGUGUGAAACUCGACUGCAUAAUUUGUGGUAGUGGGGGACUGCGUUCGCGCUCUCCCCUU